Molecule: long non-coding RNA, 467 nt
Organism: Beta vulgaris subsp. vulgaris (sugar beet)
Lineage: Eukaryota; Viridiplantae; Streptophyta; Magnoliopsida; Caryophyllales; Amaranthaceae
Exons: 3
Source: RefSeq, a predicted model, not a curated record
ACACUGAUUGCAAUAUGUUUGCCACGUAACAAAGUCUACCACUUUGAUUCUUUGCGUAAAUAAACAAUACUAAAUGUACAUCUAAUCUUAUAAUAAUGUAUUGAUGUAGUGUGAUGAAGGGGGUUAUUGCAUCUGGACUUCGACAACCAAAACCUCCUGUUUGGCAUUUAGUCGAGUGUCCAAUACAAGUAGGUGGACGUGCGUGUGGGUAUUACGUCAUGAGGUUCAUGCUCGAUAUCGUCAACCAUUGCAAAGAUGUUGGUGAUCUUCGAAAUGUUUAUGCGAAUUCCACACCACGUUUGAGGAACUUCACCAAAGAAGAAAUAGAUUAAGUUCGGGAUAAGUUGGCGUCCCACAUUACCGAUGAUUGCAUAAGAUGACAUUUUAGCUCGAAUGUAUUAGUUUCUAUCAAUCUUAUGUACACUUUUUACAUUAUUAAAUAUAUUUGAAGUUAAUUAUUACCUUUA